Molecule: long non-coding RNA, 2061 nt
Organism: Neopelma chrysocephalum (saffron-crested tyrant-manakin)
Lineage: Eukaryota; Metazoa; Chordata; Aves; Passeriformes; Pipridae
Exons: 3
Source: RefSeq, a predicted model, not a curated record
CUCUGGUGUCACUGUCAGUCCAGCUGCUGUCACUUCCACCAAGAGGAGCAGCCCCCUACUUGUUGGCAAUGUCCUUUGUGUGAUUGCACAGUGACCUGAUCCAGCUGAGAGCCAGGAAAAACAAAUAAAAAGUGCAGGGGGGCAGGGGGAAGUUAGUUUUCAAUGGGAUCAGUUCCUUGCUCCAAACACUUGCACAAGCGAAACAGAAGACUUGGCCUGGGCACAAGAAGAAACAGCGUGGGCACAGAGGGAACACAGUGUCCACAUCAGCUAAAACUGAUACUGGUAUCAUGUAUGUCGAAAAAUACCCUGAGGGCUCUUGAUAUGAAAGUUGUUGAGACAUAAUGUUCCACACCUAGGCACUUCUGAAUUUACCUGGGGUGACCACAACUACACUUCAGACUUCCUGCAGACCCAUGGAAAUGGAUCUUUUAAGUCCAUGGUUUGCCCUCGAGAUUUUUGUCACGUGUUGAAGCCUUGACCAUCCAAAGAGUAUAAACCUAAAUUUUACAUGCAGUGCAUAUGGUAGAAGGCUGCUUUCAACUACUGCUUUUUGCUGGAUAGAAAAUCACCACAGCUCAGCUUGGGGCCUUGCAGGGGAACAUCAACACAAGGGUUCCUUGGCUUCAGCCUCUGUGUGCCUUUGGAUGGGAACACCAGCCCUUCCUGCAGGUGUGACAGGAUAUUUGGAAAGACAGAUGUGAAGGCAUGGAGAAGUGUGGCUGGAUCAGAAUUCAGCAAAGACCACUUGGAACAGUUGCAGUGCCUUGACCCAGUGAGAUAGAUCUCUGUAGUUCAUUUGGAUGUGUGGGGAGGGAAGUUAAGCUUGAAACUUAAACCUGGAGCUGUGUGCAAGUAAGCAAGGGGUGCUUUUCAAGGGUGGAGAAACCAAUUUGAAAGGUUAUGUUAUGAAAAUAUAGGUGUCAAGUGCUGUAUUUGCCACUCCUGGUCAAGGCUAAAUGCAUUUUACAUUGUUCUUAAAAUUGAGGCAUUUGAUUUGACAUGGUUUAAUGGAUUUGUGUGUCCUCAGUCUGCCAUGAACUGACUUAAAACCAGGACAAUUCCGACGUAUAAACAAGACAUAAAAAUAAAGGAAAAUAAAAAAAUCUUAAUAGGUUGUGUCUCUUCUUCAUCUUUAGUUAGUCAGAAAUUAUUUCCUCUGUGCAGUAGGUGUGGUCUGUUACAGAACUACAGUGCAGCAGAAAAUCUUUUUCAAAUAUGAAGCAUGAAGGGAGGGGGGGGACAUACUGUCCUGAGUAUUACAUGCUGACAAACACAUCAUUUGUUCCAACUUCUGGAAUCAAUUAAAACUAUGGAAAAUAAUCUGUGUGCUCAUAUAAAGAAAGAAACAGUAUGCAAAGCAAAGGCAUGCUUUGGAAACUUUUGGAAGUUGAAGUCAGACUUGCAAUUUCUGAAGCCCUGAUUCAUGGUUCCUGAAUGUGUAGAAUUGCUGAUUUCAGAGAUUUGACCCGUGAAGCAUGAAAGGCAAGUCAUCUCCUGACUCUCUGAUGAGGCAUGUCUUGCUUGUGCCUCAUAGAAGCACAAGAAGCCCAGAAGCUCCAUGUUCCCAACGUAUGGGGAGGGGAGAGGUGUCCGCAUUUUGUCAAUUCUUUUUUCAACAUCUCAAAAGCUGCCAAGGCCCUGAUUUCUACCUUACUUCUUCCUCAAUACCCAUCUUCCAUGUAGACCUUGCAGGAACGAGUCAGUCUAUGAGUCAGCUGCAAAUAUCACCAAGCUCUUCCACAUCCUUGCCGAUGUCCAGGCUGUUCCCAAACACUAGUCAUCAAAGGAAGUCUUUAUUUCCACAGCAGUUAAAUGACUAACCCAAGAUCAAACAGUGGGUCAGUAGCAGAGGCGGGAACUGAAAUCAGGUCUUCUGACUCAAGUUUCUCUUGGCUGUAGCCUCUGGGUUACACAGCAGAAUUCAUUUGUGCUGUAAGUUUCAGCAGUUGCUGAGACAAAACUUCAUUUUCUUUCCCUGAGAUAUCGUAUCUGUGUCAUCCUGUUCUCUGCCCACUAGGAUGCAGCUUCUUAGCAUCAGACUUUGAAAAGGGAGGCAAG